This 440-nucleotide ribosomal RNA is filed under the name uncultured bacterium. RNAcentral's name for it is "partial 16S ribosomal RNA". It matches the Rfam family "Bacterial small subunit ribosomal RNA", at positions 338 to 795 of the family's 1533-position model. The record is from RNAcentral.
CCUACGGGCGGCAGCAGUGGGGAAUAUUGCACAAUGGGGGAAACCCUGAUGCAGCGACGCCGCGUGAGUGAAGAAGGAAUUCGUUAUGUUAAGCUCUAUCAGCAGGGAAGAAAAGGACGGUACCUGAGUAAGAAACCCCGGCUAACUACGUGCCAGCAUCCGCGGUCAUACGGAGGGGGCAAGCGUUAUCCGGAUUUACUGGGUGGAAAGGGAGCGUAGACGGCAGUGCAAGGCUGGAGUGAAAGGCGGGGGCUCAAACACCGGACUGCUCUGGAAACUGUACGGCUGGAGUGAAGGAGAGGUAAGUGGAAUGCGUAGUGUAGCGGUGAAAUGCGUAGAUAUUAGGAGGAACACCAGUGGCGAAGGCGGCUUACUGGACUGUAACUGACGUUGAGGCUCGAAAGCGUGGGGAGCAAACAGGAUUAGAUACCCGGGUAGUC